GUGCUUACUUUGGCAGCAUUUACACUAAAAUUGGAAUGAUACAGAGAAAAUUAGAAUGGCCCCUGUGUGAGGAAGCAAAUUUGUGAAGCAUUCCACAUUUUU
This is a small nuclear RNA of Cervus hanglu yarkandensis (Yarkand deer), 102 nucleotides long. Lineage: Eukaryota; Metazoa; Chordata; Mammalia; Artiodactyla; Cervidae. The record is from Ensembl.